CUACGGGGGCUGCAGUGAGGAAUAUUGCACAAUGGGGGGAACCCUGAUGCAGCAACGCCGCGUGGAGGAUGACGCAUUUCGGUGUGUAAACUCCUUUUAUAUGUCAAGAAAAUGACGGUAGCAUAUGAAUAAGCGCCGGCUAACUCCGUGCCAGCAGCCGCGGUAAUACGGAGGGCGCAAGCGUUACUCGGAAUCACUGGGCGUAAGGGACGCGUAGGCGGGUUGAAAAGUCAGGUGUGAAAGCCUACAGCUUAACUGUAGAACUGCACUUGAAACUCUCAAUCUAGAGUAUGGGAGGGGCAGAUGGAAUUAGUGGUGUAGGGGUAAAAUCCGUAGAUAUCACUAGGAAUACCUAAAGCGAAGGCGAUCUGCUGGAACAUUACUGACGCUAAGGCGUGAAAGCGUGGGGAGCAAACAGGAUUAGAUACCCGUGUAGUC
Molecule: ribosomal RNA, 438 nt
Filed under: uncultured bacterium
Lineage: Bacteria
Description: partial 16S ribosomal RNA
Rfam family: Bacterial small subunit ribosomal RNA
Source: RNAcentral